AGAGUUUGAUCCUGGCUCAGGACGAACGCUGGCGGUGCGCCUUAUGCAUGCAAGUCGAGCGAAGCUUUUCAGUAGUUUACUACAGAAAAUGACUGAGCGGCGAACGGGUGAGUAACGCGUGAGCAAUCUACCUUAGUUACAGGGAUAGCCCGAGGAAACUCGGAUUAAUACCUGAUAUUCUUUAUAUUUCGCAUGAAAUUAAAAGGAAAGGUCAGCCGAACUAAGAUGAGCUCGCGUUCUAUCAGCUAGUUGGUGAGGUAAAAGCUCACCAAGGCUACGACGGAUAGCUGGUCUGAGAGGACGAUCAGCCACACUGGGACUGAGACACGGCCCAGACUCCUACGGGAGGCUGCAGCAGGGAAUAUUGCGCAAUGAGCGAAAGCUUGACGCAGCGACACCGCGUGUGGGAUGACGGAUCUAGGUUUGUAAACCACUUUCAGGAGGGAAGAAAAUGACGGUACCUCCACAAGAAGCCCCGGCCAACUACGUGCCAGCCGCCGCGGUAAUAC
This 509-nucleotide ribosomal RNA is filed under the name uncultured bacterium. Its description in RNAcentral is "bacterial SSU rRNA". It matches the Rfam family "Bacterial small subunit ribosomal RNA", at positions 8 to 526 of the family's 1533-position model. The record is from RNAcentral.